UACGUAGGGGGCAAGCGUUGUCCGGAAUCACUGGGCGUAAAGCGCACGUAGGCGGAUUGUUAAGUCAGGGGUGAAAUCCUGGAGCUCAACUCCAGAACUGCCUUUGAUACUGGCGAUCUUGAGUCCGGGAGAGGUGAGUGGAACUGCGAGUGUAGAGGUGAAAUUCGUAGAUAUUCGCAAGAACACCAGUGGCGAAGGCGGCUCACUGGCCCGGUACUGACGCUGAGGUGCGAAAGCGUGGGGAGCAAACAGG
This 253-nucleotide ribosomal RNA is filed under the name uncultured bacterium. Its description in RNAcentral is "partial 16S ribosomal RNA". It matches the Rfam family "Bacterial small subunit ribosomal RNA", at positions 524 to 776 of the family's 1533-position model. The record is from RNAcentral.